AUGCCAUGCCAUCAAAAAAACCUACAAAAAUUCAACACAAAGUUUCAUUCAACAAGCCAAACCAUUCUGCAAUCUAAACAUCCUUAUAACAUUCCAAAAAUAAAGCACAAAUUAUCAAGCACAGUAGUGUUCAUACCAUACAUCCACAAGCCAUGUUACAUACCAAACACACUACCUGCAUCAUAUACGCACACACGCUAA
This is a non-coding RNA of Vicia faba (fava bean), 201 nucleotides long. The record is from the annotation of a GenBank genome assembly. Lineage: Eukaryota; Viridiplantae; Streptophyta; Magnoliopsida; Fabales; Fabaceae.